RNAcentral lists this long non-coding RNA (2125 nucleotides) under Mytilus galloprovincialis (Mediterranean mussel). Lineage: Eukaryota; Metazoa; Mollusca; Bivalvia; Mytilida; Mytilidae. The record is from RNAcentral.
UUUGUGCAGGAUAUACUAAGGAACAAUCAUGUUAAGUUUCAUUCAAAUCCAUUCAGUAGUUUCAGAGGAGAAGAUGUUUGAAAAAUUGUUAACGACGACGACGACGACGACGGACGCCAAGUGAUGAGAAAAGCUCACAUGGCCUUUUAGGCCAGGUGAGCUAAAAACAUAAUUAUACGGAUCAAUUUCACACAUCAUUUACCCUUUUUUUGUUUUACAUUACUUCAGCAGGGCACUGCUAAAAAAAAAUUCUGCCAAGGUAUCACUUCAAGUGGAGGACUCCAUCUUUUAACUUUAUAAAUUUGAAGUCUGUAUGAGGACCUGAAAGAAAAAUACCCACUCCCUUCAAUCAUUUUAGUUGUUUUUUAAAAUGGUCUUUUCAGUGAUUGACUUUCCUCGAUUUGCAAAACAAUCAUGACUACUUGCUUAGUAAAAAUAAGUCAUCAAAGAUAUUGUUUAAAUAUUUAAUUCAAUGCUAAAAUAAUUUAAGUUUUAUCCAUAUUACUGAUAUAUUCAUUUAAAAUAUUGGGUUUGAAAAAGGUUGUCAAGCAUAAUAUCUCCCAAAUGGAGCUUGAAAGAGGGUGAUCUCCAACUUAAGUUUUUUUUAAAUUGCUGCAAUAUUUUUCUAUUGUAAAUACAAUUAUCAUUCUUGUACAUGAACUAUUUAUAAAAUCACAAAUAUGUUCUGCAUUUGUUCAACAUACAUACUGGAAUGCAAGCAUGCGAUCUAUAAAACAAUUAUCUAUUCUACAUACAUAACUGUUUAAAGUUUAAUUUUUAUCAUAAUGUAAAGUCAAUAUAUUUUUUAUCACAUUGAAUUGUCAUGUACAUUUUGGAAAUAUUUUUUCAUCAGAUAUGUUAAAUUAAAAAAAUGAGUGAGUCUUCCAAGGAAGACAUGUGCUGCAUGCUGUUUUGAAAGAAUCUUGUAGAAGACUAUGUGCAAGUCUAAUAACCCUUUUUCAAGGAGAUAUAACAAACUGAUAUUGGCAGAAAUUGUUUAAUCAAUAUCUUUUAAAGAGAAACCUUUAUGUCACUCAUAUUAAAACAUAAAUUAGCCGGUAUGCAACUUAAUUUUAAGAAAAUAUUGUGUUUAGUGGAAUUCAUCAAGUUAUUGUCCAGAGUUGUGGAUUAACCAACUUGUAUAAGCAGAUAUGGUUGAAGUCUGUGUUUUGGUAUAGGAAAACCCCAAAAAUCAUUUUCAACAGCUAAAAAAUAAAACACAAGUCAAGUAUGAGGGGGGAUAGUAGGGGUCCUGAUCCCAAAAUCCUACGGCUUAAAAACACGAGAUCCCAAAAUCCCGGAUUAAAAAACAUGAAAUCCUGAGGUCCCAAAAUUCGAAAAAAAGAAUUCCUGGAUCCCAAAAGGGUCAAUCCCAAAAUCCUGAGCUUAAAAACAACUGAUCCUGGAGUCCCGAUAAAGGGCCUAUCCCCCUCAAGUAUUUUUAAAAUCUUUCUAUAUUCAGUUCCAAGGUCUGUUUUGACUCUACACUGCAAGCCAAUUUAUACUUUUCAGGCUAAUGCCACAUAAUAAUGAUUUAGAAAAUAUGACACAUAAAUGAUAACUUCACUUAAUAAAAAAAAACUAUAUAUCAGUCAUCUGCAUAAUGUGUCAAAAAACAACAUGCUAAUUCAAUGAUGUGGUUUCAGUGGAGUACUUCAAUAUGAAGCCUAAAUACAUCCAACCUAAAAAUUCUAUAUAGAUAACUAAAUAGUGAUAUUGACAGCUUUCUUAAUGAAUACACUUGUUUGUAAUGUAUAUGAUGCAUUUGAAGUCUCAAUAAACUUAUUCUUAUCAUGCACAUUUGUUUUUAUGUCACUCUAUGAAAGCCACAUGAAUCAAACAACUGACAUACAAACAAAUUAGUAGGUCCUUAAAGGUUUUGAUACAGAUAAGUUUCAAUGAAUAUGAGACUGUUUACAAGUGUAAUUUGAGCCUGUUUUGAUGAUUUACUAGGUAUAAAAAAAUGGCACUUUUUUCCAAGAAAAAUUAGAGCUGAGAACUUAUAUUGACAUAAUUAUUUCCCCUUCUACUGUUUCUUAUUCCCUAUAAUAUAUAUUGACCAGUUUGAGAUACAAUGUAUGGAACAAACAAACAAGUAACUAGGUAUUUUCAUCACAUAAUUAAC